RNAcentral lists this ribosomal RNA (634 nucleotides) under Salmonella enterica. Its description in RNAcentral is "partial 23S ribosomal RNA". It matches the Rfam family "Bacterial large subunit ribosomal RNA", at positions 1 to 668 of the family's 2925-position model. The record is from RNAcentral. RNAcentral also lists the same sequence under 1 other name. Lineage: Bacteria; Pseudomonadati; Pseudomonadota; Gammaproteobacteria; Enterobacterales; Enterobacteriaceae.
GGGUUGUGAGGUUAAGCGACUAAGCGUACACGGUGGAUGCCCUGGCAGUCAGAGGCGAUGAAGGGCGUGCUAAUCUGCGAUAAGCGCCGGUAAGGUGAUAUGAACCGUUAUAACCGGCGAUACCCGAAUGGGGAAACCCAGUGUGAUUCGUCACACUAUCAUUAACUGAAUCCAUAGGUUAAUGAGGCGAACCGGGGGAACUGAAACAUCUAAGUACCCCGAGGAAAAGAAAUCAACCGAGAUUCCCCCAGUAGCGGCGAGCGAACGGGGAGGAGCCCAGAGCCUGAAUCAGCAUGUGUGUUAGUGGAAGCGUCUGGAAAGGCGCGCGAUACAGGGUGACAGCCCCGUACACAAAAGCGCAUGUGCUGUGAGCUCGAUGAGUAGGGCGGGACACGUGGUAUCCUGUCUGAAUAUGGGGGGACCAUCCUCCAAGGCUAAAUACUCCUGACUGACCGAUAGUGAACCAGUACCGUGAGGGAAAGGCGAAAAGAACCCCGGCGAGGGGAGUGAAAAAGAACCUGAAACCGUGUACGUACAAGCAGUGGGAGCACCCUUUGGGGUGUGACUGCGUACCUUUUGUAUAAUGGGUCAGCGACUUAUAUUCUGUAGCAAGGUUAACCGUAUAGGGGAGCCG